This 1323-nucleotide long non-coding RNA is filed under the name Homo sapiens (human). RNAcentral's name for it is "non-protein coding SNHG10:2". Lineage: Eukaryota; Metazoa; Chordata; Mammalia; Primates; Hominidae. The record is from RNAcentral.
AGCCUCAUCCUACUGCCUUACUAUUGGUCGUCGGCAACCGCUUUGUUAGUUAAUUGGAGAGACUGGAUGUCCAUCAGGGUCACGCUUGCAGGGCAACGAGAGGCAAAACAAGAGGGAAGACGACUUUCCUCCUGUGAGCCAAUGAGGCCAGCUGGACUACGCCGAGACAACUGGGAGAGGCGCGGGACUCGCCCGUUCCGCGGAACGCCGGGAAGGGGUCACCUCCUGAUGAAGUUUCCGGUUCCGGUGUCAGCGGCGGUUGAAUUGCCAUGGCAAUGCGGUGGGCGCGCGCUUGUCGUGUUGGUCUCUUGGGAGGUAGCGGGGCUAGGCCGGGCGGGUAUCCGCCUCUCCCAGCUUAGGUGAGCGUCCCCGGGCGCCUCCGGAGCGCCGCGGCCGCAUGCAGUUCGUCGUGGCGGGGAGCCGGAGCCUGACCGGGGUUCCAGCGCUCGGGCCGUAGCCUUGGCUCCUGGACUUUCCCUGGCUCCGCCGCCACGUGGGAGCUGAGGCUCUGGGGCUUCCGCCUCCGGCGCGCGAUUAUUUCUCUAGAACAGUUUUCAUUUUUAAAAUUUGUAAAGCGCUUUUGCCUGUGUGAUUUCCUCUGGGUUUUUUUUUUUUUUCUUCCUUUUUGUAGAGACGGAAUUGGCGGCGGGGGCGGGGGGUCGAUGUCUCACUUUUUUGCCCAGGCUGGUCUCGAACUCCUGGCUUCAAGGGAUCCUCCUGCCUCGGCCUCUUAAAGUGCUGGGAUUACAGGCGUGAGCCACCGCCCCCGGCCGCCUCUGAGUUUCCAGCCUCGUUGGCCCUCCAGCCUUUUAACCUGUUGGGCCUAGGAUCAGGAAAGGUUUGUUGAAUGGGGAACUAAGAAGUGAAUUCGUUCGUUCGACAAACGUUUCCUGAGCAGCCGCUGGGUGCUAGGCGCAGUGCCAGCGCGGAAUGUCCAGGGAGACCUGGUGCCCAAAGCUUGGACCCAUCGUGAGAAAUGAGAAGCAGAUACAAAGCAGUGUGGGAGUGCAGAGGAGACAAAGCAAGCCUCAUCAGGCCCAUUGCUUGCUCUGCUCUCCCUUGUACUUACCAGUGCUUGACAAUAUACAGUUAUUUACUAGCUUGGUUAUUGACUUCCUACCCAGCACUCAGUUUUAUUCACUGCUGUAUCCUCAGUGCCUAGGACGAUGCUUGGAACGUGAUUCAUUGAUUCCAGGUAAAUCAGAGGAACAAGCAACAUGAACAGAAAUAUGUAGAAAAAGCUAUUAUGCAGAAGCAUAAUUGUUGUUUCAGAAGUCCAGCAUCUGGUGCACUUAACAAUAGAGAAUAUAUUAAACUCUUUCC